GGGCUGGAGGUGGCACUGGGUCCGUCGAGUGUCCUGCUGGGUACUUCUGACAGCUGCCGGCCUGGAGCAUCUCCCGGAGGCUGCUGGGCUCUGCCGUGCCCUGAGCCAGCCACGAGCAGGAGCAGAGUAGGCAUCCCCCAGCCUGGUCUGUGCCCGGGGAGGCGCCUGGCUCAGGGCU
Molecule: long non-coding RNA, 178 nt
Organism: Gavialis gangeticus (Gharial)
Lineage: Eukaryota; Metazoa; Chordata; Crocodylia; Gavialidae
Exons: 3
Source: RefSeq, a predicted model, not a curated record